This is a long non-coding RNA of Oxyura jamaicensis (ruddy duck), 1898 nucleotides long. RefSeq lists it as uncharacterized. The transcript has 3 exons. NCBI's taxonomy places the organism in Eukaryota, Metazoa, Chordata, Aves, Anseriformes, Anatidae. The record is from RefSeq and is a predicted model, not a curated record.
UUGUCUUGCUCUUUGCAGGAUUUUCUUCUUAUGAGUCUUCCAUUGGUGAAAAUCAUCCCAUAUUGAGAAAGAGAGAAUUUUUGUUUUGUCUGAGGUCAAACAAAUUUAAGUGCCAUCCUCUUGAUCUUUGUGAGAUGCUGAGGCUGCCACAGUCUUUCUGUGUCUUUACAAGCAAAAGAAGGGCUGAGGAAAGGGAAUGAAGUGCAGGAACCUCCUAAUUUCAUCCUGAUACUUGGAGCUCUCAGUACCAGCCUCUACAAAGUCACUGAUUCUAUUUUUUUUUUCCAGACAGAAGCAUCUAUGCAGUCGAUAUCUAGACACAAAAAUCCACAGAACCUUUAUUCUAUUUGCACUGCAGGCAGCAAAACACUUUCCAGCAAACUUGAAGCCUCUAGCAAAAGAGCAAAAGAACAAAAGAAGCACAACUUGAAAAUGACAGAGAAAGAGAGCAGAGGAAAUGAAGAAUAUUACACAAAUUUUAAUUACUGCAGAAGUAAGAUGUCAUAAAUAAAACUCAAUGACCACAGAAAGUAAGCCAUGGUGUCAUCUAGAAAGAGGGAUGACUGGAAGAUAAUGAGACUGAGGGAUGGCAUGAAAAAAUAUGACCUAUCCUUUGGGCUUAGAAUCUUCCAGAAAAACAAACACACAAACAAACAAACAAAAUACAAAAACCAGUGGCAAAGUCUUAAGUGCACAUAACCAAACUCCUCCCUCCCCAGCCAUAACACCUCAGGGACCAUGAUUAAGGAACAUAAGUCUUUUUCUAGGCAUUCCCAUGGUUUUGUUCAGAGCACUUGGCACAUGAGAAGACCAAGCUGUUUUGUUGGUCUAGGAUGGCCUGCAUCUUUCAUGUCUGCAUAGAGACUGCCAAACUCUGGGUACUAUAUAAAGGAGAAAAAAAAACAGAACGUUUCAAAUCACCAUCACCCCUUCUCUGGUUACUAGUGUCUCACUAGCACUUCCUGCCUUCAGCUGUGUUUUAGCUUCUAGAAGUUGAGGAGUCAGUCUAAUUACAGACAUACUUUCAGACCUUUAGGAGUUCAGCUUUUGGUUAUGGAGUAGAAGAUGAUAAGGAAGGACACAAAUAAUUGUCUUUCCCAUUUUAAGGAUUGUGAAGGAAAACAAGGCUAUGACACUGAACUGCUGAGUAAAGAAUAUUGAGGAAUAUCCUGCCAGACUCUAUUAUCUUACCUAUUCCAGCCAGCCACCAUUGGAUUUCUGGGCAGAUUUCCAGAAUCAGUGUAAUGCAGAACUGUACACACAUAUGAAAGCUUAGCUCAUCCAGUAGUCACUUUGCUAUUUAAUCUUCCUAAAGAAUGUCUGGCAUGUAGUUCCCUUGUGUGCAUGGCCCCUAGUAGUGACCAGUCCCACAGAUCAUCUGCAGAGCAUCCAUUUGAUGCAACUAUCAUAGGCCUUCUCUUCCAGGCAUGCCCUCAAGGUGCCCAUUCCAAAGGAUUCUACUUCUCUCAAAUCCCAAUUCAACGGUCUGUUAGAGGCUUUGGCCUGUUAGAGGCUUUGGUGUGCUUUUCACAGGGGCUCUUACAAUGCAGUGCAAUUAAAUUUCCAUUAGUUUGUGGCAGUUGCGUACAGUGAACUUUAUCAGAGAGAUCUUUGACAUUCAUACCUAACACUGAAGCACGACUUCAAGCAGUUAAAAAUUUGUCUCCCUCCAUACACAACCUUAAUGAGGCUUUUCAGAAGCAUUCCCCCACUUAGAAAAAAGGAGUUUGUGAAUUAAAGAGUUCAGAGCAUAUGUAAUUGGAAACAGUUCCAUCAAAUAAUGGCUGCAGACUGGAAUUCCCUUCUUACCCUGAGGGACAAUGUACUUUGUUUCCAAGCCAGAAGAAUAUUAAUUUCCAUUUACAGAACCCUUCUACAUUCGGAGAGAUAGGAAGAGC